CCUACGGGGAGCAGCAGUCGAGAAUCAUUCACAAUGGGGGAAACCCUGAUGGUGCGACGCCGCGUGAGGGAAUGAAGGUCUUCGGAUUGUAAACCCCUGUCAUGUGGGAGCAAAUUAACAAGAUAGUACCACAAGAGGAAGAGACGGCUAACUAUGUGCCAGCAGCCGCGGUAAUACAGAGGUCUCAAGCGUUGUUCGGAAUCACUGGGCGUAAAGCGUGCGUAGGCUGUGUCGUAAGUCGGGUGUGAAAGGCGCGGGCUUAACCCGCGGAGGGCAAAUGAUACUGUGAGACUAGAGUAAUGGAGGGGGAAACGGAAUUCUCGGUGUAGCAGUGAAAUGCGUAGAUAUCGAGAGGAACACUCGUGGCGAAGGCGGGUUCCUGGACAUUAACUGACGCUGAGGCACGAAGGCCAGGGGAGCGAAAGGGAUUAGAUACCCGUGUAGUC
This 446-nucleotide ribosomal RNA is filed under the name uncultured bacterium. Its description in RNAcentral is "partial 16S ribosomal RNA". It matches the Rfam family "Bacterial small subunit ribosomal RNA", at positions 338 to 795 of the family's 1533-position model. The record is from RNAcentral.